This 301-nucleotide ribosomal RNA is filed under the name uncultured bacterium. RNAcentral's name for it is "partial 16S ribosomal RNA". It matches the Rfam family "Bacterial small subunit ribosomal RNA", at positions 509 to 807 of the family's 1533-position model. The record is from RNAcentral.
CAGCCGCCGCGGUAAAACGGAGGGGGCUAGCGUUGUUCGGAAUUACUGGGCGUAAAGCGCACGUAGGCGGCUUUGUAAGUCAGAGGUGAAAGCCCGGGGCUCAACCCCGGAAUUGCCUUUGAGACUGCAUCGCUUGAAUCCAGGAGAGGUGAGUGGAAUUCCGAGUGUAGAGGUGAAAUUCGUAGAUAUUCGGAAGAACACCAGUGGCGAAGGCGGCUCACUGGACUGGUAUUGACGCUGAGGUGCGAAAGCGUGGGGAGCAAACAGGAUUAGAUACCCCAGUAGUCCCUGUCUCUUAUAC